This 439-nucleotide ribosomal RNA is filed under the name uncultured bacterium. Its description in RNAcentral is "partial 16S ribosomal RNA". It matches the Rfam family "Bacterial small subunit ribosomal RNA", at positions 339 to 795 of the family's 1533-position model. The record is from RNAcentral.
CUACGGGCGGCUCCAGUGAGGAAUAUUGCACAAUGGGGGGAACCCUGAUGCAGCAACGCCGCGUGGAGGAUGACGCAUUUCGGUGUGUAAACUCCUUUUAUAUGUCAAGAAAAUGACGGUAGCUCAUGAAUAAGCACCGGCUAACUCCGUGCCAGCAGCCGCGGUAAUACGGAGGGUGCAAGCGUUACUCGGAAUCACUGGGCGUAAAGGACGCGUAGGCGGGCUUGUAAGUCAGGUGUGAAAUCCUACAGCUUAACUGUAGAACUGCACUUGAAACUACGAGCCUAGAGUAUGGGAGGGGGAGAUGGAAUUAGUGGUGUAGGGGUAAAAUCCGUAGAUAUCACUAGGAAUACCGAAAGCGAAGGCGAUCUCCUGGAACAUUACUGACGCUAAGGCGUGAAAGCGUGGGGAGCAAACAGGAUUAGAUACCCUAGUAGUC